CUAAAGGUAAUUUAAAAUAAAAUGUUGGCUUUGGGGGCCAUAGUGCCCAUGUCAGUGGCUUCAACAC
This 67-nucleotide transfer RNA is filed under the name Laudakia stellio stellio. RNAcentral describes it as "Stellagama stellio stellio tRNA-Pro". Lineage: Eukaryota; Metazoa; Chordata; Lepidosauria; Squamata; Agamidae. The record is from RNAcentral.